GGCCACUAUUGAGUCUGCAAGUGUUUUUUCCAUGUGGUGCGCAAAAUUGGUCACCCUAAGGGGAAAAAAAUGGAGAAGAGUGUUGUGUUGUGAGUAAUAGUAUUGUGGUUUGCAGUGGUUUUCUUAGUAAGUGAAGUGAUGAUAGUGCAAUUUGUAUACUAUAGGAUUCUAUGUAACCGGGCAAAUCUAUAAAGUAUUGUGGUUUGCAGUGGUUUUCUUAGUAAGUGAAGUGAUGAUAGUGCAAUUUGUAUACUAUAGGAUUCUAUGUAACCGGGCAAAUCUAUAAAGAAUAUAAAGUUUAUGCUCCACACACCUUCAAUGCUUUCAAUUUCCAUUCAAAUUCUUUU
Molecule: long non-coding RNA, 347 nt
Filed under: Phaseolus vulgaris (common bean)
Lineage: Eukaryota; Viridiplantae; Streptophyta; Magnoliopsida; Fabales; Fabaceae
Description: long non-coding RNA (PVUL_LNC004760)
Source: RNAcentral